This is a non-coding RNA of Myotis brandtii (Brandt's bat), 75 nucleotides long. Lineage: Eukaryota; Metazoa; Chordata; Mammalia; Chiroptera; Vespertilionidae. The record is from Rfam.
GGUGGUUCUUGGAUGAAACACCCCAGAAUCAGGCUCCCUCCUCUCUGGUUCCGGGUGUGUCACCCGAGAAGCACA